RNAcentral lists this long non-coding RNA (744 nucleotides) under Marmota monax (woodchuck). The record is from RNAcentral. Lineage: Eukaryota; Metazoa; Chordata; Mammalia; Rodentia; Sciuridae.
ACUGAACUAACAUCCCUAGCCAUUUUUAACUUUAAUUUUGAGACAUGGUCUCUCUAAAUUGCUGAGGCCUUGAAUUUGUGAUCCUCCUGCCUCAGUCUUCUGAGUAGCUGGGAUUACAUGUAUGCACCACUGUUCCUGGCUGAGUUUACACUCUUUUGGGGGUGGAUCCAGCACAGUCACAUUCCUGUGUAGGUGGAGGGCAAAAUAUGGGAGACAUAAAUGCAGAGAUCCAAUGAUUUAGCACUUCACUGAACCUUACACACCCAUAUACACCUAUCCCUAUGCACUCUGACAUAGACACAUUCACAAAUACAAAAACAGUUAUUUAGAAGAACUCAUAGACAUCAUCAAUUUUUUUGUUAGAGGCUUUCUUCAAAGUUCUGCAGUCUUUACUUAUGUUUACAUGUAGCAGAGUAAAAGAGCUUAUCAAAGGUUUGGAACUGUGGGUGGGCUUUGUCAACUGUAUGCAUCACCAUGGGAUGAUCUAGCUGAACUGUUUUUAAAAAUUCCAAUGCAGUGUCUGUAUGUCUUUCAUUUUGGACUGAGAAGAGUCUUCAGAACAUACUUCUUCAAUCUUUGGCCUAAGGGCAAUAACCAAGCUGCCAGUGUUCUGAGAACUGAACACUGAUCUAGGUAGAAGAGGGCUGCUGGGGCUUUAGCAUUCAGUAUAAGGAGUUUUACCUGCUUUUAAGUGUGGUACCCUGUCUUCAACUUGUAUUCCCAGUGUUGAGAUCCUUGCCAAAA